RNAcentral lists this unclassified non-coding RNA (239 nucleotides) under rhizosphere metagenome. RNAcentral describes it as "partial ribosomal RNA internal transcribed spacer region". The record is from RNAcentral.
GAUUAAACGGGAAGCGUCUUAACUGACCUUCUCACCCUUCACAUCCACAUACACCCUGUGAACUGUUUGGCUUCAACUCUCGAGUUGGGCUCUCCUAUCGAUAGAUUAGCAAUAGUCUAGCGAGAAGAGGGUUCGUCUCGAGAGCGGGAGUCAUCAUUUUUAUACAUACACAAAGUCUAAUGAAUGUAAACGUUUUAUAUAAACAAAAUAAAACUUUCAACAACGGAUCUCUUGGUUCU